Molecule: transfer RNA, 87 nt
Filed under: Rhodospirillaceae bacterium TMED8
Lineage: Bacteria; Pseudomonadati; Pseudomonadota; Alphaproteobacteria; Rhodospirillales; Rhodospirillaceae
Also listed under: 1 other name
Description: tRNA-Leu
Rfam family: tRNA
About the family: Transfer RNA (tRNA) molecules are approximately 80 nucleotides in length. Their secondary structure includes four short double-helical elements and three loops (D, anti-codon, and T loops).
Source: RNAcentral
GCGGGCGUGGUGAAAUUGGUAAACACACAAGACUUAAAAUCUUGCGGCGUAACAGCCUUGCUGGUUCAAGUCCAGUCGCCCGCACCA